GACGAACGCUGGCGGCGUGCCUAACACAUGCAAGUCGAACGGAGUUUAUGGAAGGGUAACCGGAAAUAAACUUAGUGGCGAACGGGUGAGUAACGCGUGAACAAUCUGCCUUCCAGAGGGGGAUAACGUUGGGAAACUGACGCUAAUACCGCAUAAGACCACAAUGCCGCAUGACGAAGAGGUCAAAGGAGCAAUCCGCUGGGGGAUGAGUUCGCGUCCCAUUAGGUAGUUGGUGAGGUAACGGCCCACCAAGCCGACGAUGGGUAGCCGACCUGAGAGGGUGAUCGGCCACAUUGGGACUGAGACACGGCCCAAACUCCUACGGGAGGCAGCAGUGGGGAAUAUUGGGCAAUGGGGGAAACCCUGACCAGCAACGCCGCGUGGAGGAAGAAGGUUUUCGGAUCGUAAACUCCUGUCCUCAGGGAAGAGCAGAAGACGGUACCUGAGGAGGAAGCCCCGGCUAACUACGUG
This 471-nucleotide ribosomal RNA is filed under the name uncultured bacterium. RNAcentral describes it as "bacterial SSU rRNA". It matches the Rfam family "Bacterial small subunit ribosomal RNA", at positions 28 to 507 of the family's 1533-position model. The record is from RNAcentral.